CGAAAGCCUGACGGAGCAAUACCGCGUGAGGGAGGAAGGCUCUUGGGUUGUAAACCUCUUUUCUCAAGGAAGAACACAAUGACGGUACUUGAGGAAUAAGCAUCGGCUAACUCCGUGCCAGCAGCCGCGGUAAUACGGAGGAUGCAAGCGUUAUCCGGAAUGAUUGGGCGUAAAGCGUCCGCAGGUGGCUGUGUAAGUCUGCUGUUAAAUAGUGAGGCUCAACCUCAUAAAGGCAGUGGAAACUACACGGCUAGAGUGCGUUCGGGGCAGAGGGAAUUCCUGGUGUAGCGGUGAAAUGCGUAGAGAUCAGGAAGAACACCGGUGGCGAAAGCGCUCUGCUAGGCCGCAACUGACACUGAGGGACGAAAGCUAGGGGAGCG
Molecule: ribosomal RNA, 380 nt
Filed under: uncultured Hassallia sp.
Lineage: Bacteria; Bacillati; Cyanobacteriota; Cyanophyceae; Nostocales; Tolypothrichaceae
Description: bacterial SSU rRNA
Rfam family: Bacterial small subunit ribosomal RNA
Source: RNAcentral